UGGGUUAAGUCCCGCAACGAGCGCAACCCUUGUCUUUAGUUGCCAUCAUUAAGUUGGGCACUCUAGAGAGACUGCCAGGGAUAACCUGGAGGAAGGUGGGGAUGACGUCAAAUCAUCAUGCCCCUUAUGCUUAGGGCUACACACGUGCUACAAUGGGUAGUACAGGGGGUUGCCAAGCCGUAAGGUGGAGCUAAUCCCUUAAAGCUACUCUCAGUUCGGAUUGUAGGCUGAAACUCGCCUACAUGAAGCUGGAGUUACUAGUAAUC
RNAcentral lists this ribosomal RNA (266 nucleotides) under Clostridioides difficile. RNAcentral's name for it is "partial 16S ribosomal RNA". It matches the Rfam family "Bacterial small subunit ribosomal RNA", at positions 1076 to 1343 of the family's 1533-position model. The record is from RNAcentral. Lineage: Bacteria; Bacillati; Bacillota; Clostridia; Peptostreptococcales; Peptostreptococcaceae.